CUGACAACGCUGCGGCAGGCUACCAUGCUUAUGAGCGCGCCUUCGGGUGCAGCGGCGUACGGGUUAGUAACGCGUGGGAACGUGCCCUUCUCUACGUGAAUAGCCUCUGGAAACGGAGAGUAAUACCGUAUACGCCCUUUGGGGGAAAGAUUUAUCUGGAGAAGGAUCGGCCCGCGUUAGAUUAGGUAGUUGGUGGGGUAACGGGCUACCAAGCCUACGAUCUAUAGCUGGUUUUAGAGGAUGAUCAGCAACACUGGGACUGAGACACGGGCCCAGACUCCUACGGGAGGCCGCAGUGGGGGAAAUCUUUAAGACCAUGUGGGGCCAACCUGAAUCUAAGCCAUUGCCGGUUAGACUGAUGAAAG
RNAcentral lists this ribosomal RNA (365 nucleotides) under uncultured bacterium. RNAcentral's name for it is "bacterial SSU rRNA". It matches the Rfam family "Bacterial small subunit ribosomal RNA", at positions 32 to 414 of the family's 1533-position model. The record is from RNAcentral.